UCGAGCCUGCCCGGUGACUAUAUGUUUAACGGCCGCGGUAUUUUAACCGUGCAAAGGUAGCGCAAUCACUUGUCUUUUAAAUGAAGACCUGUAUGAAUGGUAUUACGAGGGCUUAACUGUCUCCUUUUUCAAGUCAGUGAAAUUGAUCUCCCCGUGCAGAAGCGGGGAUAAGACCAUAAGACGAGAAGACCCUAUGGAGCUUUAAGACACCAAGGCAAAUCAAGUUAAACACCCCUAAACAAAGGACUAAACCUAUUGAACUCUUGCCCGUAUGUCUUCGGUUGGGGCGACCAUGGGGAAACAAAAAACCCCCACGUGGAACGGGAGCACAACUACUCCUACAGCUGAGAGCUGCCGCUCUAAUAAGCAGAACUUCUGACCAAUAACUGAUCCGGCAACGCCGAUCAACGAACC
Molecule: ribosomal RNA, 414 nt
Filed under: Rastrelliger kanagurta (Indian mackerel)
Lineage: Eukaryota; Metazoa; Chordata; Actinopteri; Scombriformes; Scombridae
Description: partial 16S ribosomal RNA
Rfam family: Bacterial large subunit ribosomal RNA
Source: RNAcentral